This 1392-nucleotide unclassified non-coding RNA is filed under the name Leishmania donovani. RNAcentral describes it as "gene:unknown". Lineage: Eukaryota; Euglenozoa; Kinetoplastea; Trypanosomatida; Trypanosomatidae. The record is from RNAcentral.
AGCAGCCUGGUCGGCACCUCGACCCCCUCUUCGUGUGCGUUGACAACCUGUCCUACACACAGAGAGGAGUGGGACGCGUUUGUACAGCAGCACGCACCACCUUCCCGCGCGACUCUUCAUCGUUGCUCUUCUCUCUUACACACCAGCACACACACACACACACACACAUUCCGCCUCCUAACCAAUUCGACUCUCAACCACGGCGGUCUUUUCCAUGCCGUCUCGAAAGGCGCUCGCCUUCGCGCGUCUUGCGCUGAUCUUCGCUGCCACGCUCAUCAGUGCCGCUCUCAUCGCCACGCCGCUGCUCGAGGCGAGACGCCAGCUUUGACGGCAACAACCCGUCCCGCGAGAUGGAGGGCGUCGAGGAGGCGAACCCAGAGAGCUACUUCGACCUUGUAGGCCACGAUCGGUUUGCGCUGCUCGAGUUCUACUCGGACUGGUGCGGGUACUGCCGCAAAUUUGCCCCCCCCCCCCCCCCCCCCGUACGAUGAGUUGGGCAAGUACGUUCGGAUCCGCCCUGAGAUGCAGCAGAGGCUUGUGGUGGGGAAGGUGAACGCGCCGAAUGAGGCGCGCAUACAGCGACGGUACAAAGUCAGUGGCUACCCGACGGUCAUUAUGGUGCCACCAAACAAGCACGCCGGCGUCGAGUUCACUGGGAAUCGGAACUUCAAUCAGCUCUUGGACUUUGUCGAGCGUGAGAGAUGGCGAAGAAGGAGUACGCUGUUACGGAAUAGACUGAGGGGAAGGGGCGACAGAGAAGGUUGGAGGGGUCGCGCGAGGGGUGGGUUGCGUGGGCAGGGGGACCUGGCAGAGAGGGGCAGAGGCAUGCGUGUAUGGCGCGCAGUGCGGGUAAAAGUGGACGGCUAGGUUGUGUGUGCAUAAGUGUCUAUGACAGCUUCUACACCUCGCUUUCGACGGCGUUGCUCUGCCGCCUGUUUCUCGUGCUGUUCGCCUCCCUCUCCCCGCUUUCUCGCUGUGCGCGCCCUCCCUCACUGCCGUUGCCCCACUUUCGCCGCCACCGCUGCUAUGCUGAAGUGCCAGACACAAUGUGAAGAGUCACCACCCCACACCACCGGCUGUGUUUCCAGCGCACACGUCUUUUUCUGUGCCGCUCCUUGCGUGCUCCAUUUUCCUCGAUGUGCCAUAGACCAUCAAGUGGUUUCUGUGAGAUGCGCGAACAUGCACGAAACCCACACAUGCCCUUCACGCAGGCGGCCUGGUGAAGGGGCCUCGUGAUUCACGCAAGAAACGAGAUGACGCGUGUUGGGCUCAUUUCUUACGUGCCACUCUCUCUCUCCGCUCUUCACGUGUGCGUGUUCUCGUCCCUCCUUUCCUCCUCGCCCUCUUGCAUACAUCGCCCAUGCACAUGUUUGCCUCCGACGACCGCACCAG